AUCGUGCAUUACAUUAUAUUCCCCUAGC
RNAcentral lists this non-coding RNA (28 nucleotides) under Cricetulus griseus (Chinese hamster). The record is from RNAcentral. Lineage: Eukaryota; Metazoa; Chordata; Mammalia; Rodentia; Cricetidae.